This 68-nucleotide transfer RNA is filed under the name Orthetrum sabina. Its description in RNAcentral is "tRNA-Cys". It matches the Rfam family "tRNA". From Rfam's summary of the family: Transfer RNA (tRNA) molecules are approximately 80 nucleotides in length. Their secondary structure includes four short double-helical elements and three loops (D, anti-codon, and T loops). Lineage: Eukaryota; Metazoa; Arthropoda; Insecta; Odonata; Libellulidae. The record is from RNAcentral.
GGUCUUAUAUUCAAAGUAUGAUUUUAGACUGCAAUUCUAAAGGUGUGAAUACAAAUUUACUAAGACCU